RNAcentral lists this ribosomal RNA (790 nucleotides) under Bipolaris cynodontis. Its description in RNAcentral is "eukaryotic LSU rRNA". It matches the Rfam family "Eukaryotic large subunit ribosomal RNA", at positions 96 to 904 of the family's 3401-position model. The record is from RNAcentral. Lineage: Eukaryota; Fungi; Ascomycota; Dothideomycetes; Pleosporales; Pleosporaceae.
AAGCGGCAACAGCUCAAAUUUGAAAUCUGGCUCUUUCAGAGUCCGAGUUGUAAUUUGCAGAGGGCGCUUUGGCUUUGGCAGCGGUCCAAGUUCCUUGGAACAGGACGUCACAGAGGGUGAGAAUCCCGUACGUGGUCGCUAGCUAUUGCCGUGUAAAGCCCCUUCGACGAGUCGAGUUGUUUGGGAAUGCAGCUCUAAAUGGGAGGUAAAUUUCUUCUAAAGCUAAAUAUUGGCCAGAGACCGAUAGCGCACAAGUAGAGUGAUCGAAAGAUGAAAAGCACUUUGGAAAGAGAGUCAAACAGCACGUGAAAUUGUUGAAAGGGAAGCGCUUGCAGCCAGACUUGCUUGCAGUUGCUCAUCCGGGCUUUUGCCCGGUGCACUCUUCUGUAGGCAGGCCAGCAUCAGUUUGGGCGGUGGGAUAAAGGUCUCUGUCACGUACCUCUCUUCGGGGAGGCCUUAUAGGGGAGACGACAUACCACCAGCCUAGACUGAGGUCCGCGCAUCUGCUAGGAUGCUGGCGUAAUGGCUGUAAGCGGCCCGUCUUGAAACACGGACCAAGGAGUCUAACAUCUAUGCGAGUGUUUGGGUGUCAAGCCCGAGCGCGUAAUGAAAGUGAACGGAGGUGGGAACCCGCAAGGGUGCACCAUCGACCGAUCCUGAAGUUUACGGAAGGAUUUGAGUAAGAGCAUGGCUGUUGGGACCCGAAAGAUGGUGAACUAUGCUUGAAUAGGGUGAAGCCAGAGGAAACUCUGGUGGAGGCUCGCAGCGGUUCUGACGUGCAAAUCGAUCG